RNAcentral lists this unclassified non-coding RNA (221 nucleotides) under Glomus sp. RNAcentral describes it as "partial contains 5.8S ribosomal RNA and internal transcribed spacer 2". The stretch from base 1 to 65 matches the Rfam family "5.8S ribosomal RNA", at positions 84 to 154 of the family's 154-position model. Lineage: Eukaryota; Fungi; Glomeromycota; Glomeromycetes; Glomerales; Glomeraceae. The record is from RNAcentral.
GUGAAUCAUCGAAUUUUUGAACGCAAAUUGCACUCUCUUCGGAGAGUAUGCCUGUUUGAGGGUCAGCCUAAAAAAAUCGACAUAGUUGCUGUUAAGCGGUAACAUUCGGUGGAAAUUGGGGUAUCUUAAACCCUUUGGUUUAAGCGGCCUAAAAAUUUCUUUACGAUUCCAAGAACGUUUCUAAGAUUUUAUCUUCCUAUACGUUUAAGGGAAUCGUCCUU